Molecule: ribosomal RNA, 641 nt
Filed under: uncultured bacterium
Lineage: Bacteria
Description: bacterial SSU rRNA
Rfam family: Bacterial small subunit ribosomal RNA
Source: RNAcentral
UAACAGCUGGAAACGGCUGCUAAUACCGCAUAAGCGCACAGAGCUGCAUGGCUCGGUGUGAAAAACUCCGGUGGUAUGGGAUGGGCCCGCGUCUGAUUAGGCAGUUGGCGGGGUAACGGCCCACCAAACCGACGAUCAGUAGCCGGCCUGAGAGGGCGACCGGCCACAUUGGGACUGAGACACGGCCCAAACUCCUACGGGAGGCAGCAGUGGGGAAUAUUGCACAAUGGGGGAAACCCUGAUGCAGCGACGCCGCGUGAGCGAAGAAGUAUUUCGGUAUGUAAAGCUCUAUCAGCAGGGAAGAUAAUGACGGUACCUGACUAAGAAGCCCCGGCUAACUACGUGCCAGCAGCCGCGGUAAUACGUAGGGGGCAAGCGUUAUCCGGAUUUACUGGGUGUAAAGGGAGCGUAGACGGCAAGGCAAGUCUGAUGUGAAAACCCAGGGCUUAACCCUGGGACUGCAUUGGAAACUGUCUGGCUCGAGUGCCGGAGAGGUAAGCGGAAUUCCUAGUGUAGCGGUGAAAUGCGUAGAUAUUAGGAAGAACACCAGUGGCGAAGGCGGCUUACUGGACGGUAACUGACGUUGAGGCUCGAAAGCGUGGGGAGCAAACAGGAUUAGAUACCCUGGUAGUCCACGCCGU